Molecule: small nuclear RNA, 107 nt
Filed under: Saimiri boliviensis boliviensis (Bolivian squirrel monkey)
Lineage: Eukaryota; Metazoa; Chordata; Mammalia; Primates; Cebidae
Source: RNAcentral
GUGCUCACUUUGGCAGCACAUAUACUAAAAUUGGAACGAUACAGAGAAGAUUAGCGCGGCUGCUGCACAAGGAUGACACGCAAAUUCGUGAAGCGUUCCGUAUUUUC